CUUAUCUCUCCAAGCAUCUAGUGGAGAGACAGAGAGACACAGGAAAAUGGCAGGCAACGCCACCGGCCGCGGCUGCAACGCCGCCGUUAUCUCACUGUCAGUAUCAACACCACCGUCCCAAAAGUUCCCCAUAAUACCUAAACAACUUGUAUACACUAAUAAGUGCUCAACUUUCUCUAUUAGAAUUGGCCGUGCUCAAAUUUCUUCACCAACUCCGAUUCACAACCCACGUUCUUCUUCAUCUUCAUCUCCUGUUGCCGUAGAAGAAGAGAAAACUGGGUCUCCUCCUACCGACGAUAAUCUUCCUUUCCAAUCAGAAUCCAAACUCGAUUCUGAUUCUCUCCCUUCUCCCAGGUGUGUGGAAUUGAAUUCUGAAACCUGUUUCGUGUAGCUUGUUAUUUAUAUGAUUCUCAUUUCAAUAAUUAUUCACUGUAUUCUUUUGUAAGCACAAACAAAUUUAUGUUAAUGUUACAAGCAAUUUGGGUGGAAGAACUAACUAGUUGUUAAAACUCGAGGCAACUCGAUAUGCCCAACGCACGCUUUCUGGUUGUUAAAAAUCACUACUCUAACUAGCAUUCUACCGGUCUUCCAGUCCGCUAUCCACGUGAAGGUCCUUCACAAUGGGUGCCUAUUGUGAUACAAAAAAUGCAAUUACUUUUAUUAGAACUCACACUUUAAAUCGGUUUGUAAACUCCGGUUUCAAAGCAGCUCUUGAUCCCUGGAUCUGAGCAGGAUCUCUUUAUCAUCCGGGGUCAAUUUUGAAUCGCUCGCGAGAUAAUCUUACCGCAAUUGGUAAAUGUUGAUAAAUAAACAUCUGUCUCUCAGUAAUUCUUUUCUCCGCUAAUCACCCCUUCCCAACUAGCCUGCCUUAUCAAUCUUGUAAGAUUGGCUAAUUCAGAGGAGUUAAUCUGGUCAGAAGUUGUCGGAACAAUGGAAACGGUGACCAGCAUGACUUAUGGACUAAAAGUUAUGCCUUUCACGAGCAACGUAGUAUUCAAGUUGUUGUACGACACAAAGAUUACUUCUGCAAUAUUUUCUUUCCAUGUGGGUAGAUUAUUAGCUGUUUUUUAAUACAAGUACUUUGAUGUACUUAUAUUGUGUUUCCUUUGGCUCCCUUUGCUUUUUUCUUGUCCUAGAAAUGUUUUAACGACGUGAAUCUGUUCACUGAAUGAAAUCAUAUCCCUGUUAGAUUGUGUUUUUUGGUUAAAUAGUAGUACUAGUACCCUUUUCUAUCCUUGAAUUGAUUGAGCGCGUAGGUUUACGAUUUUAAUACUAUAAACAGCACUGUUCUAAUGAGAACUCUUUUUGUAGUUUGCAGUAGAUACUUAUCCCUUUUUAUCUGUUAAUUAAAUCUAAAUAAUUCAUUAAUACCUGCAACAUAUACCCAAAUGUUUGCCUUAAAACUAUUAACUGGCACUUAGGACUAUCAUGCAAUUGAGAUCCUUUAUGUGAAGUACUUUAAAUGCCUUCUCUUUUAUUCUUUCCCAUUGUUUAUAUCAUGAGUUAUGACCUUAUUGGCUACUGUGAAAUUCAGACUAAGGGUUGCUUAAAAAAUAAAAAUAGUUCUUACUUUUUGGCAAGUAAGAGCUGCUGGAAGUCUUCAAAAAGUAACUUUUAAAAUGCUUAAACAUAUUUGGUAAAUAAAAAGCUACUUAAAAGUAACAUCUAAGCUUAGCCAAACAUGCUUGUAAUCCAGUGUUAACACUAGGAUCUUUUCAUAUAGGUAAAUCAGUGUGAAUGUGUUGCUCCAGCUAUAAUGAAAUCCCAGCUAUUUCAUGCAUGAUACUAGAUGAAAAAGUUGUUAACUUUUGAGAUAGAGUUCAAAGAAUACUUGCCAAAAUAGAGAAGGAAAUCACCGUUUCAGGUAGGAAUUAAAGAAGGUUUAUUACCCGAACGGCUGGCUUGUUGAGUGAUUCCAAUUUACUUUGUUGAAAGUUCUUGUUAUUUUAAAAUAUAAAUUACUGGCAUUUGAUUUGAGAUAAUAAUACUAUCUUAUCUGCAUAUGUAAUUUUCAACAGGGGCUGUAAGGCAUGUGGAAGAGAGGAGAUUGAGAGGGGCUGUAAUGGUGAGGGAAGGAUACAGGGUGGGAUUGCAACAGUUCCAGGCUUUGGUUGGUGGCCAAUAAAGGCUUAUAGGCCUUGUCCGGCAUUUGUGGCUUCCGGUGGGAGGUACAGACGAAUUGGACAAAGCAUGGAUGAGGUUACCUCGGGGAGAAGUGGGAGAGGCGCAUCCAAGAAAACCAGUGAUGCGGCUGAAUAGGUAUUUUUAAGCUACCUUAUACUCUACUUUUUGCUCCAUUGAUGAAUAAUACCACUAUGAUACCUGAGUGUGGUGACCCAAGGAACCUCCCCUAGAUGCUUGACACGUAUCAAACAUCUUGAAACUUCAAGAUGUUUGUCCGACGUGCCAUGUGACAUGUUCUUUUAUUCAAAAUUCUCACCAUCACAAGGGACAGUUCUCAAUGUGUCUCUCAACCUUAAUGGUGUCCGCCACACCAUAUGGUGUGUUUUUAUAUUUUCUAAUUUCCAACAUGGGUGGACAUGUCCUCCCAUGGGGUACCAUUUGUUCUAGCACAGGGCACCUUGCAGCAAUAAUCUACUUUGCUAGACUACCUUCUAUUUAUCCUCGAAUCAAUUUGAGAUGGAAAAACAAUUUAAGAAAGCUUUACAAUGGUAGAUUUGGAUGUAUUGAAAUUAGUAUGUUCAUUGAUUAAUGGAAGCACUAAAUUGCGAGUGCUCAUAUAGGGGCCAAACACCAGAAAGCUUGAUUCUAAACUUCGAAUAUGAUUUACCCAUAUAAUAGCUCAAGUAAGAAACUCCUCCACAAGAUUCUUUUACAAGUGAACGGUUGUGGUCAUUGACUCCUUGACAUGUCAAUUACAUGGUAAAACCUAAUUGUAAAUUUGAAAACAGAGAGAUAUAUUAAUAUCAAAAUAUUUAUGUGUCAGCAUAAUGUGAGAAAAACUAAAUAGACUUAAUGUUGAUUUUUUAUUUUUGGGUAUCUGCUACGUGCACGUUUUGAUAGAUAAUGAAUACUAUUUUAUCAACUCUAGUAAUACACAGUACAACCUGAAGUUAUCUUAAUGCAACAAAGUCACUCAAAUUCAGAAAUGAUGCCAAAACAAUGUAUUAAUCUUACUAAAAGGUAAAAGAAUUAUUAAAGUAAGUAUAUAAAAUAAAACUGUAUGAUUUUAAAGAAUUUCAUAAAUUUGUUUAUUGUCCUCCUUGAAAAUUUGUGUUUGUAUUCGUGCUUCAUGGCUGAAAUGUUUUUCUUCCUUGUACUAUCAAAUCUACCUACAGGCAUAUCUAUCGACUUUAAUAUAGUAUGGGGUGCGAAAGGCGCCACCAAUGUACUGUGAAAAGGACAAGCUACAUAACUCAGAUGAAGUUUACCAGCUUUAUGAGUGUAAUUACAUAUUCAUUCUUUUUAAAGUUGAUUGAUAACUAGCUCCUUUCGACUCUCUCACCGAUGAUUUUUCA
Molecule: long non-coding RNA, 3479 nt
Filed under: Olea europaea subsp. europaea
Lineage: Eukaryota; Viridiplantae; Streptophyta; Magnoliopsida; Lamiales; Oleaceae
Source: RNAcentral